UGCAUCAUGAUUUACAUUUGAGUGAGUGGCGAAAGGUGAGUAACACGUGGGAAACCUGCCCAGAAGCGGGGGAUAACACCUGGAAACAGAUGCUAAUACCGCAUAACAACUUGGACCGCAUGGUCCGAGUUUGAAAGAUGGCUUCGGCUAUCACUUUUGGAUGGUCCCGCGGCGUAUUAGCUAGAUGGUGAGGUAACGGCUCACCAUGGCAAUGAUACGUAGCCGACCUGAGAGGGUAAUCGGCCACAUUGGGACUGAGACACGGCCCAAACUCCUACGGGAGGCAGCAGUAGGGAAUCUUCCACAAUGGACGAAAGUCUGAUGGAGCAACGCCGCGUGAGUGAAGAAGGGUUUCGGCUCGUAAAACUCUGUUGUUAAAGAAGAACAUAUCUGAGAGUAACUGUUCAGGUAUUGACGGUAUUUAACCAGAAAGCCACGGCUAACUACGUGCCAGCAGCCGCGGUAAUACGUAGGUGGCAAGCGUUGUCCGGAUUUAUUGGGCGUAAAGCGAGCGCAGGCGGUUUUUUAAGUCUGAUGUGAAAGCCUUCGGCUCAACCGAAGAAGUGCAUCGGAAACUGGGAAACUUGAGUGCAGAAGAGGACAGUGGAACUCCAUGUGUAGCGGUGAAAUGCGUAGAUAUAUGGAAGAACACCAGUGGCGAAGGCGGCUGUCUGGUCUGUAACUGACGCUGAGGCUCGAAAGUAUGGGUAGCAAACAGGAUUAGAUACCCUGGUAGUCCAUACCGUAAACGAUGAAUGCUAAGUGAUGGAGGGUUCCGCCCUUCAGUGCUGCAGCUAACGCAUUAAGCAUUCCGCCUGGGGAGUACGGCCGCAGGCUGAAACUCAAGGUAUUGACGGGGGCCCGCACAAGCGGUGGAGCAUGUGGUUUAAUUCGAAGCUACGCGAAGAACCUUACCAGGUCUUGACAUACUAUGCAAAUCUAAGAGAUUAGACGUUCCCUUCGGGGACAUGGAUACAGGUGGUGCAUGGUUGUCGUCAGCUCGUGUCGUGAGAUGUUGGGUUAAGUCCCGCAACGAGCGCAACCCUUAUUAUCAGUUGCCAGCAUUAAGUUGGGCACUCUGGUGAGACUGCCGGUGACAAACCGGAGGAAGGUGGGGAUGACGUCAAAUCAUCAUGCCCCUUAUGACCUGGGCUACACACGUGCUACAAUGGAUGGUACAACGAGUUGCGAACUCGCGAGAGUAAGCUAAUCUCUUAAAGCCAUUCUCAGUUCGGAUUGUAGGCUGCAACUCGCCUACAUGAAGUCGGAAUCGCUAGUAAUCGCGGAUCAGCAUGCCGCGGUGAAUACGUUCCCGGGCCUUGUACACACCGCCCGUCACACCAUGAGAGUUUGUAACACCCAAAGU
Molecule: ribosomal RNA, 1366 nt
Filed under: Lactiplantibacillus plantarum
Lineage: Bacteria; Bacillati; Bacillota; Bacilli; Lactobacillales; Lactobacillaceae
Description: bacterial SSU rRNA
Rfam family: Bacterial small subunit ribosomal RNA
Source: RNAcentral